GACGAACGCUGGCGGCGUGCUUAACACAUGCAAGUCGAACGCUGAAGCCCUGGCUUUUGUUGGGUUGGAUGAGUGGCGAACGGGUGAGUAACACGUGAGUAACCUGCCCUCUUCUUUGGGAUAACGCCCGGAAACGGGUGCUAAUACUGGAUAUUCACUGAUCUUCGCAUGGGGGUUGGUGGAAAGGUUUGUUCUGGUGGGGGAUGGGCUCGCGGCCUAUCAGCUUGUUGGUGGGGUGAUGGCCUACCAAGGCUUUGACGGGUAGCCGGCCUGAGAGGGUGACCGGUCACAUUGGGACGGAGAUACGGCCCAGACUCCUACGGGAGGCAGCAGUGGGGAAUAUUGCACAAUGGGCGAAAGCCUGAUGCAGCGACGCCGCGUGAGGGAUGGAGGCCUUCGGGUUGUAAACCUCUUUCGCUCAUGGUCAAGCCGCAACUGUGGGUUGUGGUGAGGGUAGUGGGUAAAGAAGCGCCGGCUAACUACGUG
Molecule: ribosomal RNA, 486 nt
Filed under: uncultured bacterium
Lineage: Bacteria
Description: partial 16S ribosomal RNA
Rfam family: Bacterial small subunit ribosomal RNA
Source: RNAcentral